RNAcentral lists this long non-coding RNA (6502 nucleotides) under Homo sapiens (human). Its description in RNAcentral is "HSALNT0393063". The record is from RNAcentral. Lineage: Eukaryota; Metazoa; Chordata; Mammalia; Primates; Hominidae.
AACCCUUGUGAGCCUGAGAUGGGGGCAUCAAAUCAUACGAGCAUCCCAGUGCUCUUGUUGAAGGGGCUUCUCAGGGGACAGAGGUGAAAUGGAACAGAUGUGGGCCUGGGGCCUGGGCAUUUACUCGGAUGGGGAGCGCUAAGGACAACCCAGGGAAAUGAGGCGGAAGUCAGAACCGAGGAACAAGGGAGACAAGGUGCCUUCCAGUAGUGGUUCAACACAGUUCUGCAAAACACGACACUCUUGAUAAGUUUAUCCUGUGAUAGAAGGAGAUGAAAACUCAGAAAUGACUGCUAGCCUGGACAAGUCCAAGUCUGUGAUUCGAGUGCCACAGCAAUCUAGUAAAAUUAUCUGGAGAGAAAAACCCUUGAUAUGCAGGUGAGGAGCAGCUGAUGUCUGAAGUCUGACAUGGCAAGAAAGUUCCAGAUUCUGGAAGAAGAAACUAAAUCCAUGAAAACAUAAGUGAGAGCACUACAACCAGAUUAAAACAAUAUGGACAAUUGAAAAAAGACUGAGAAUGUUCACAUACAUUGCUGGGGCCUGUGAGGAGAGUUAGGUCCCGUGUCUGCUGCAGUGCUGGUUGCAAAGAGCAGAGAGCCCGCAGCUCCCCUGGGAGAAGAAGGCAGGGGACAUGAUGUAGGGUCAGGGUGUGGAGACAAAGUUAAUGGCACGGAGAAGGGAUCAGGAGGAAGCUGCGCGGUCCAGUGGGCACUGAACAUUCAGGACCGGGAGAAAAUAUCAGUUCUACCCCAAGAUUGCUAAGAAGAGGGGAAAAGCCCACUGGAUAGGUCAUCAUAGAGGCGUCCACACUGAGAGUGUCACCUGAAAGAGCAGGUCAGAAUCUUAGGCAAGAGCAGAAGAAAGGACCGUACUUGGUUGAAAGACAGAAAUGGAGCAUCCUGUAUAUGAGCUGACCUGCACAGCACAGGUGGCAUGGUGUGUCAAAGCAGAUGACCUGGUGGCCCACGAAGAGGAAGGGCUGGCGACCUACAGAAAGCAAUUCAAAGAUCUUGGGGGAAAACUGGAAAGAAUAAUUUCUUCUUUUCAGAGACAGAUCCUGUCCCAGGAGGGAAGAGCUCAUGAUCACUGGUGGAAGCUUGGAGGAUGAAUAAAACCUCAUUAUUUCCAGAUGGGAGAUCACAGACCUGAAACAAAGAGAACUAAAAAGACAAUUUAUCUCAAGCCUCUUGUUUGUAAUUUUAAUUUUUAAUUUUUGUGGGUACAUAGUAGGUGUGUAUAUUUAUGGGGUACAUAUGGUAUUUUGGUACAGGCAUGCAAUAUGUAAUAAUCACAUCAUGGAAAAUUGGGUAUUAAUCCCCUCAAGCAUUUAUCCUUUGAAACUGCUGCUUCUUCUCCUCCUCCUUCUUCCUCUUCUUCUCCUCCUUCUCCUCCUUCUUCUCCUCCUCAUCUUCCUCCUGCUCCUUUCUUCUUCCCUCCUCCUCCUCCUCUCCUCCUCCUCCUCCUCUCCUCCUCCUCCUCCUUCUCCUCCUUCUCCUCCUCUUCUUUUUAAGGGCAGGGUCUUGCUCUGUCACCCAGGCUGGAGUACAGUGGUAUGAUCAUGGCUCACUGCAGCCUCAACCUCCUGGGCUCAAGCAAUUGUCCUGCCUCAGCCUCCCAGGUAGCUGGGACUACAGCACCUCAAGCUUCUUGAAGUGGAUCUUAAUGCAUUUGACAAUCCUGGUGGGGCAUUAGGCAGAGAGUAAAUACAUCCUGACCUCUGAGACCGAAGUGUCCCUCGUGCUUCUCCUCAGACCCUCCCCUUGGCUGCCAGGCUGUGUUCCCCUCCCCUCUCCUUCUCCUUCUCCCUCCUCCUCUGCCAUUCUCCAAUCCAGUGCUUCGUGUGCAUCCAAACGGAGAGGAGCGGUCUUGUUAAAGAGCACUCCCUCUUCCUCCACCUCCUCCAGGACUCUACGCACCCCGCAUCCCAGCUGGCUCCCCAGCAAGGGGUCUUAGGCCUCCUUUUUCUCCAUCACAGUCUGGGUUUUUCUGGCACACCUCUAUCCAGAAAAUGGAAGUGACUUACCUUUUGGUUUCCCUCAGCCUCCAUCUGACCCUAGCAGUAAAAAUCCUGAAACACUGCAAAGACAUCAAGUCAUUAGGUUUUGUCUUUUUUCCUUGAAAUAUUGUUGACUUCUAUAUAUUUAAUUUUAGGAUAGAUAGCUGUUUUUUUAUGCAAGUGAUUUUAUUUUCUCUCAUUUUGCUUCUUGAUACUAAUAUAAAUUUCAGGUUAGAUUUAGAAAAUAAAGAUCACUUGAAUACUCCUGUUACAUUAUACGCUCUAGAAAAUGUAAGUAGCAGAGUUUUAUCUGAUAAGUCAGUCUACAUGAUCAUAUAACAUCAUCCGUGAACAGUUUAUCCCAUGGGGACAUUGAAAGUAGAAAACACUUUUCCAUCUGUUAAUGUUUGUAUCUGCCGCUGUUACAGGAAAAGGGUGAAAAUGACUUGAUGGUCCCAGUAAAUUACAGUCGAAUUAAAGCAUGGUCAAGGUGUGGUGGUCAAACGCAGAAGGCAGUCUGUGGAGUGGGGAGUUCUGCAGGCUGGGGCCCCUCUGUCUGCUGUGCUCUCGCUGUGCAGGGCUCUGGAAGGGUGAGCCCAGCCACAGCUGCUCAGUGAGGAGGGAGACAGGCUCAGGCUGUGGCUCUUUAACUCCCCAGGAGACCUGGGCCACUGGGACCCCAGAAUCUUCAUUUGGAGCAACAGUUCUUCACAAAGCUGUCUGUAGGCUUCACAGACUGAUGCCCUUGGUAGCAUCUUGUGCCAGGCCUCAGGAUGGGCCUGGGUCCUUGCUUCUGGAGAAUAGAGUAUGGAGGUGGCUCCUGCCAGCCUGAGAUAGAGUCAAGUGUGUCUCCAGGGUUGUUGUAGUUACUGAGCAGAGUCUUGUGUCUGAGACCCAUAUGCAUUAGUCUGCUGGGGCUGCCAUAACAAAGGCCUGCAGACUGAGUGGCUUAAACAACAGACAUUUGUUUUCUCACAGUUCUGGAGGCUGGAGGUCCAACGUCCAGGUGUUGGUGUUGGCAGAGUUGGUUUCUCCUGAGGCCUCUUUCCUUGGCUUGCCUUCUCCCCUUGUCCUUACACGGCCUUCUCUCUGUGCAUGCAUCCCUGGUGUCUCUUUUUCUCCUUAUAAGGACCCCAGUCACCUAAUUCACCCUUACUUGUGUCUUGAAGGCCCUGUCUCCAAAUGCAGCCACAGAGGGGUUAGGGCUUCAGCAUCUCUGGGGACACAGUUCAGUCCGCAGCACCAUUCCUGUCCCACCCUACAGAACAACAGACUGGCUGUGAUUGGAGCCUGGUCCUGAGCCUCCACCAAGCUGUCCCAGUGUUCAGGGCAGUGUGCUCCAGUGCCUUUGGGGUCGGUCUGACCACAGUGUGUAUGGGCUCUGGAAAUGGGAGGUUGUGUGGCUCCUGCAGCCAUCAGUCAGAGAACGCAUGGCCGUUCAGGGCAGGCCGGCCUUAGUCACAGUCCCCACGGCUGCUCUGGUUGCUCCUCCUGCCCUGGUGACUUCCUUUUCUCAACUCCCUUAGGCACACAAAGACCCAUGCAUGCUUCCUCCCUCCUUCACCAAUGUCCCCAGGGAAGAUUAAAACAUAGGUCCACAUGAAUAUCUAAGUGGGUGAGACAAAGAAGUUCUUAUUGUGCUCUUAAUUUCAGCUUGGUCCAAGUUACAGCUGCUGUGAGUCUCAUCUAAUACAUACCUAUAGUCAUAUAUGUUAUAUAUAUUUAUACAUGCUCACAUGUGUGUGCAUGUGUGUGUGUACGUGUGUGUAUACAAACUUCCUCUUUAAAAUAUUCCUGGAUCAUUUUUAACUUCCUCUUACUUUAAAAUAUUCCUGGAUAUAUCAUUGCUUAAAGUACAUAAACUUGCAUGAAAUGAUUCAAUGUUUCCAAGAUUCUCAAAAGGUUAGAAAAGGAAAUAAAUGUCUCCCAUCUUUCCAAAAUCUAUCAUUAUAACUAGGCAAUGUCUAGAUGUGGCUUAGUUCCUGUAGCAACUUCCGGGAAUGAGCAAAGUGAUCGCCUCCGAGGUGGUGCAGUGGCCUGUGGAGUCUAAGAGUUUAUAGCUUGAAAACUGCUCCUGUAACAAAAGUUGUAUUCAUAUCUGAGAUGUUAAAAGGUGAAGAUUUUUGCACAUUUUCUUUGUUAUGAUAAAAUACCACUUUUGAGUUUGCCGAUCUCACCACUGUGAACAACGUUAGUUCUCCACAUACGAUGGCAUUUGCCAGCUGUGCCCUCAGAUUUCAUUGGCUCCGUGUCUGGGUGAGUGGGAAUCAUUUAUGUGGGAAAUUCUCCAUUACAGGACAGUUAAUGCACCAAUGGCAUCAUUGUGAGGUUGGAGAUUUGGGGUGAUGAUCUGGCUGCUUGGCACCUCCAGGCUGGCAGACAGCACGGCUGUGGCCAGGAGGUAGCAGCACUAAUCAGGGGCAGCAGUGAUGAGUCCAGGUGUUCCUAAUGAGAAUUUGAUGUGAAUGAAACACAUUACGUGGCGGUCCCAAUUCAGAAUGGUUGCACUUAUUAUAUUUCUAUAUGGAAGUGUUUAUUUAACACCACAUUUGUCGGAAAUUACACAUAUCUCAAAGCCUGUAUAGGAUCCAACUGUUAACAGGGAGAAGAACCACUUCUAGAAAGUUGUUUUGUUUUUACCAAAUCCUCUAAAAUCGAUCAUAUUUUAGAUAAAUUGUUUAUUUGAAAACUUUCCUCUAUGACCUAUAAUUGGGAUUGAGUCUGAACUGACAAUAAAUAUAAUUACAACUGUUCAGUAGGUUGAAAAUAGAAUUUAUUCCUUAGUUUUGGCUACUUUGCAUGAAAAUGCUAAUUGUAUUUGCAUAUAAAGGAAGACUAAUUACUAAGACCUGAACCUAAAAUUGUAUUUUCCUAUGUUUAGCAAGCUGAAUUGCUUAUUAACAUCAACAAAAAUGGAUGUUUCUCUCAAGAAAAAAAAGUUAUGAGAGUGGUUCUUGGAACAACAAGCAUAGAGAUUGUCUGCAGAGGGUCUCUGACAGGCUUUUCAUAUCAUGAGCGGAGACAUUGUCUGUAGAGGGUCUCUUGGGGGUGUUUAAUGCCAUAUGCAUAGAUGUGUCUGCACAAGGUCUUUUAGGGAUGCUUAAUACCAUAUCCAAGUUUGCUUCUGAGGUCAUGAUCAGUGGAAAAUAGUGCAAAGUCCAGUUGAAAAUUGUAUUAGCUUCCAGUGGCUGCUGUAAGAAACUACCACAAACAUGGUGGCUAUGACAAGAGCUUUAAGGUUUCUGGAAUCUAGAAGUCCAAAUCAAUGUCACGGGGCUGAAAUGAAUCUCAGCAGAGGCUUACUCCCGCGAAGGCUGAAGGGAGAAUGUGUGCCUCGUCCCUUCCAGCUUCUGGUGGCUGCCGCUAUUCUCUGGCACGUGGCAACCCCGCUCCAAUCCCCGCCUGCAUUGUCCACGGCUUUCUCCUCUUUCUGAGUCAACUCUCCCUCUGCCUCUCUAUGAGAAGGACACCGUGAGUGUAUUUAGAGCCCACCUGGAUAAUCCAGAAUAACCUUCCCAACUCAAGAUCCUAACUUACACACAAUUACAAAGUCCUUUUUCCUGCUUAAGGUGAUAUUCACACAUUCUAGGGAUCAGGGCAUGGAUUUCCUUUGGGGGCCAUUAUUCAACCUUCUACAAAAAUUCAAACUGUCUGGUAAAAUUGAACUAAAGCAAGUGGGAGGGUGUGUCCAUGUCAAACCCCAAAUUCUGGGAACUCAGAAGCCUUGAAACAGGAAUCCCUAUAGAAUUUCCAGCACAGCUCAGAGCAGACCCUUAGAUAACCCACUGAUACCUGGGAUGGGCAGCUUGCCCCAUGCCUGGGAGUGAGCAGGUCGUGGGAAAGAUGGGCUGAUUCUGUAGGCCGGAAUGUAAUGAGUUUCACUGAGGUAUUUCAGGGAGCUUUGAUAACACUGCUUCCAGUAGUCCUGGGAUUCAAGCCCUGGAUGAAAUUUCCUUGAGUGGUUUUAUGUUGGAUCAAUUGUCUUUUCUUUAUGUGGCAACCUCAGAGAAUCUUUGAGAGUCUCUGAAGCCAUUUCAUAAUUCAUAGGUAUGGCCUUGGGCACUGUGCUAUUUUGUGGUGACUAAGUCAUUUGUCUAAAGAUAAAUAUUAAUAUUGAAUGAGAAGAAAUACAAUUUUUAAAGGGAUCUAGAAAAAAUAAAUGGAAAACUCAAUUUGUAAUUCAGGAUUAAAAAAGUCUAUCUUAUUGAUAAAAAAUGCUAAUUAACUUUUAUUACAAUGAAUACUUUUAGUUGUGGAAGAUAGUUUGAUUUUCUUAAACUAUUAUUACUUUUUAAUUGCUAUAUAGUUAAAACAGAUGAAAAUUAUUAUUUUUCCUCCUAUGUCUUAAUUUGUUCAUUUUUUAUUUGCGAUGUCAGUUGGUGUAGUUUGUAAAAUGCUUCAUGGUGUUACGUGUAUGUAUUUAAUGAUCCAUUUCUCGAUGUUAAUAAAAGUGUGCUUUAUGCUCAUAUGAAGGAUGAAGAGCACAGGGAAAAAACUUUACUUUAC